RNAcentral lists this ribosomal RNA (406 nucleotides) under uncultured bacterium. RNAcentral's name for it is "partial 16S ribosomal RNA". It matches the Rfam family "Bacterial small subunit ribosomal RNA", at positions 30 to 526 of the family's 1533-position model. The record is from RNAcentral.
AUUGAACGCUGGCGGCAGGCCUAACACAUGCAAGUCGAACGAGUGGCGGACGGGUGAGUAAUGUCUGGGAAACUGCCUGAUGGAGGGGGAUAACUACUGGAAACGGUAGCUAAUACCGCAUACCAGCGGAUGUGCCCAGAUGGGAUUAGCUAGUAGGUGGGGUAAAGGCACACCUAGCCGACGAUCCCUAGCUGGUCUGAGAGGAUGAACAGCCACACUGGAACUGAGACACGGUCCUGACUCCUACGGGAGGGAGCAGUGGGGAAUAGUGCACAAUGGGCGCAAGGCUGAUGCGGCCAUGCCGCGUGUAUGAAGAAGGCCUUCGGGUUGUAAAGUACUUUCAGCGGGGAGGCGUUACCAGCAGAAGAAGCACCGGCUAACUCCGUGCCAGCAGCCGCGGUAAUUC